This 443-nucleotide ribosomal RNA is filed under the name uncultured bacterium. RNAcentral's name for it is "partial 16S ribosomal RNA". It matches the Rfam family "Bacterial small subunit ribosomal RNA", at positions 338 to 795 of the family's 1533-position model. The record is from RNAcentral.
CCUACGGGAGGCAGCAGUGGGGAAUAUUGGGCAAUGGGCGCAAGCCUGACGCAGCAAUGCCGCGUGAAGGAAGAAGGCUUUCGGGUUGUAAACUUCUUUUCUAAGGGACGAAGAAAGUGACGGUACCAUAGGAAUAAGUUCAGGCUAACUACGUGCCAGCAGCCGCGUUACUACGUAGGGAGAGAGCGUUAUCCGGAUUUACUGGGUGUAAAGGGCGUGUAGGCGGGAUGGCAAGUCAGGCGUGAAAACUAUGGGCUCAACCCAUAGCCUGCGUUUGAGACUGCCGUGCUUGAGUGAUGGAGAGGGAGGUGGAAUUCCGGGUGUAGCGGUGAAAUGCGUAGAGAUACGGAGGAACACCAGUGGCGAAGGCGGCCUGCUGGACAUUAACUGACGCUGAGGCGCGAAAGCGUGGGGAGCAAACAGGAUUAGAUACCCUGGUAGUC